This 291-nucleotide long non-coding RNA is filed under the name Lotus japonicus. Its description in RNAcentral is "long non-coding RNA (LJAP_LNC000876)". The record is from RNAcentral. Lineage: Eukaryota; Viridiplantae; Streptophyta; Magnoliopsida; Fabales; Fabaceae.
CCCAAGACCCACUUGAAGUUGAGAACAAGGAGGUAACAGAGGAAGCCAAGCCUGAGGAAGUGAAGCCAGAAACAGAGAAAACAGAGGAAAAAACAGAGGAGCCAAAAACAGAGGAGCCUGCAGCAACUACUGAAACAGAGUCAGCAGCACCUGUAGAGGAAGAGAACAAACCAGCAGAGGAAGCCCCUGUAGAAGUUGUUCCAGUUGAGAAGACUGAAGCUUAAAGAGUGAGAGUAAAAGAAUGUUUAAUUAAAUGGUCCCAGUUUCUGGUAUCAGGUCUACCAUUUUGCA